This is a long non-coding RNA of Balaenoptera acutorostrata (minke whale), 248 nucleotides long. RefSeq lists it as uncharacterized. NCBI's taxonomy places the organism in Eukaryota, Metazoa, Chordata, Mammalia, Artiodactyla, Balaenopteridae. The transcript has 3 exons. The record is from RefSeq and is a predicted model, not a curated record.
GUUUCCCUGAUCACUGUGCUGUCGGAGGCUUCUCACAUGUCUCUGGGAGCUGCCAGCUUUUGUCUUCAGCCCUCAGAAGGUGCAGCUGUCCAGGCUUAUUCCGGAGGGCGCCAGUUGAAUACAGAGCCUCCCCAUGGGCCGGAGGAACCGUGCUAUUUGGCACGCCGCCCUUGCCUGGGGGCCAGCCCCUCCGAGCCGGAUGGAAGUGACGUUAGAAAGCCCUGUGUCCGGUAAGUCCCACCAGAAGA